UAUACCUCAGUUUUAUCAGGUGUUAUUUAAAAUCACCUGGAAAUACUGAGGUUAUGU
Oryctolagus cuniculus (rabbit) is the source of this 57-nucleotide microRNA precursor. Lineage: Eukaryota; Metazoa; Chordata; Mammalia; Lagomorpha; Leporidae. The record is from Ensembl.